UGUUGUCAGGUCAUUAAAGAUUGCAUAUUUUGGCGUUAAUAUUGAUUCACUUAUAGGGUCUUUGCAUCGGAACUAAACACAUUUAUUCAAAAACCAGUUGUUGGCAUGGCACGGGUUAUGUUCUUCUCAUAUAUGUUAUGAUGGUAUGAUACUAAACCUCUAACGGGAAGGAUUGUGCCUGAUGUUCAUAUGAUGAAAUCAUAAUCUUUC
RNAcentral lists this long non-coding RNA (210 nucleotides) under Mytilus galloprovincialis (Mediterranean mussel). The record is from RNAcentral. Lineage: Eukaryota; Metazoa; Mollusca; Bivalvia; Mytilida; Mytilidae.